GGCCGCUUCGCCGACGGGGAGCAGCAGCUCGCCGCGGGCGAGUACGGCCCGGCCCGGCCGGGUGGGGCGUUCUGGAUGCUCAAUGGCCUC
This 90-nucleotide transfer RNA is filed under the name Actinorhabdospora filicis. RNAcentral describes it as "tRNA-Arg". The record is from RNAcentral. Lineage: Bacteria; Bacillati; Actinomycetota; Actinomycetes; Micromonosporales; Micromonosporaceae.